ACAUGAAGCUGCAUCUCAUCCCACACGCUGUAAUAUUGUGCCUAAGUGAGAUAAUCAGCGCCCAGGAUGACUCCAGCCUGACUGAAAGGCCUUAUGUGGUCCUGCAGAAGCAGAACUUAGUAACACUUGGGAGUGUCCUCGCUGUCCUGCUGCUGCUGAUGAUCAUCAUGGCUGUUUGUGUCUACAAACCUUUGGCUCGUCGCUGAAACUACAUUUGAAGCCAGAGCCAAUCCUUUGACGUAAAGGGCAUUUGAGUGACAGCUGCAAUAUCCGUUCCAGCUCCUCUUCCUCCUGUUGCCUCAUCUUCUCCUCCUCUUCUUGAGCUCGAGCAGAGAGCUCCAUGGCCAGGCGGAGCUCUGAGUCUUGGCUGGAAGCAGAGGGAGAGCUAGCCGGGCUGACGCUGU
Cyprinodon variegatus (sheepshead minnow) is the source of this 404-nucleotide long non-coding RNA. RefSeq lists it as uncharacterized. Lineage: Eukaryota; Metazoa; Chordata; Actinopteri; Cyprinodontiformes; Cyprinodontidae. The transcript is spliced from 3 exons. The record is from RefSeq and is a predicted model, not a curated record.